Long non-coding RNA from Gambusia affinis (western mosquitofish), 562 nucleotides. RefSeq lists it as uncharacterized. The record is from RefSeq and is a predicted model, not a curated record. NCBI's taxonomy places the organism in Eukaryota, Metazoa, Chordata, Actinopteri, Cyprinodontiformes, Poeciliidae. The transcript is spliced from 3 exons.
ACUGUUGUUUAAAUGUAAAAAAUAAAAUGUGUGGACGUUUAUGCUCAGUAUUUUACUUUUCAGGCCGAUAACCCAAAACCUUCAGCAGGAAAUAUGAUUUAAAUAAAAAAACAUGAGCUGAAAGAGGAAGGAGGUUUCUUUUCCUGGAACACAGAGUACUGAACAGUUGCUGCUGUCGCUUCUAGACAGGAAAAGGUUAUUAUACCCUCUGGAUUGAGAGAGCAAUUAAGCAUUACCUCUUCAGUCAGUACAGAUGAGCAGCAGGUCAAUUGUGUUCGAGGAGGCAGAGGAAAACUUCUGGCAGCUGCGCCCCUCUUAUCUUCCCCUGUACAGUCAAUAAAUCAAUACCAAAUCUAAGGAACAGGAAGCCAGAUGGCCUCCCUGCAACCUCUCCAGGCCAGGCCGCUCUCAGGGCCUCCUCGGCUACUGUAGCGCCGCUGCAUGCACCGCUCCUUUGAAGGCAUACACAUUCAACAAGCGGCUCAAUGAAUGACUAAAGGGAACAAAUAAGCUGUUACGACUCCGCUCAAAUCAGUGUUUGUGUUUCCAUCCACAUCAAAGG